Molecule: long non-coding RNA, 128 nt
Organism: Bradysia coprophila
Lineage: Eukaryota; Metazoa; Arthropoda; Insecta; Diptera; Sciaridae
Source: RefSeq, a predicted model, not a curated record
AUAUUUCCUUUUACAGAAUGCUACAAAAAGGAGUGACAUUUUCUUUUACAAAACGUAACAAUGAAGAGUAUUACUCCUUCUAUAAAAUGCUUCGAAAAAGGUGUGAUAUUUCCUUUUACAAAAUGUAA